AACCUCCGCAAUGUGAGAAAUCGCGACGGGGGGAUCCCAAGUGCCAUUCUUAACGGGAUGGCUUUUCAUUAGUGUAAAGAGCUUUUGGAAUAAGGGCUGGGCAAGACCGGUGCCAGCCGCCGCGGUAACACCGGCAGCUCUAGUGGUAGCAGUUUUUAUUGGGCCUAAAGCGUCCGUAGCCGGUUUAAUAAGUCUCUGGUGAAAUCCUGUAGCUUAACUGUGGGAAUUGCUGGAGAUACUAUUAGACUUGAGACCGGGAGAGGUUAGAGGUACUCCCAGGGUAGAGGUGAAAUUCUGUAAUCCUGGGAGGACCGCCUGUUGCGAAGGCGUCUAACUGGAACGGUUCUGACGGUGAGGGACGAAAGUUAGGGGCGCGAACCGGAUUAGAUACCCGGGUAGUCCUAACUGUAAACGAUGCGGACUUGGUGUUGGGGUGGCUUUGAGCUGCUCCAGUGCCGAAGGGAAGCUGUUAAGUCCGCCGCCUGGGAAGUACGGUCGCAAGACUGAAACUUAAAGGAAUG
RNAcentral lists this ribosomal RNA (521 nucleotides) under uncultured bacterium. RNAcentral's name for it is "bacterial SSU rRNA". It matches the Rfam family "Archaeal small subunit ribosomal RNA", at positions 345 to 866 of the family's 1478-position model. The record is from RNAcentral.